GAACUUAAAUACACAUGCACUUAUGUGAUGUUCUACCGUUUAACACAUGAACUAAAUCCGAAGAUAAACGAAUGUAUGGAACUAUCAAAUCUAUAAACUCAAUGUUCCAAGUUAAAGUCCAUCUUGAUAUUUAAAGUCCAUUCAAUUUCAAAACCUUAAAAAUUUCAUUACGUCAGUCAUUAUUGUUAUUAUAAAACAAGAAUGAUAUUCCAAAAUGUAAGUGUUGUCCCAUGAUACGAG
This 240-nucleotide long non-coding RNA is filed under the name Brassica rapa (field mustard). RNAcentral describes it as "long non-coding RNA (BRAP_LNC001873)". Lineage: Eukaryota; Viridiplantae; Streptophyta; Magnoliopsida; Brassicales; Brassicaceae. The record is from RNAcentral.